Molecule: ribosomal RNA, 257 nt
Filed under: uncultured bacterium
Lineage: Bacteria
Description: partial 16S ribosomal RNA
Rfam family: Bacterial small subunit ribosomal RNA
Source: RNAcentral
UGGCGGACGGGUGAGUAAUGUCUGGGAAACUGCCUGAUGGAGGGGGGAUAACUACUGGAAACGGUAGCUAAUACCGCAUAAUGUCGCAAGACCAAAGAGGGGGACCUUCGGGCCUCUUGCCAUCGGAUGUGCCCAGAUGGGAUUAGCUAGUAGGUGGGGUAACGGCUCACCUAGGCGACGAUCCCUAGCUGGUCUGAGAGGAUGACCAGCCACACUGGAACUGAGACACGGUCCAGACUCCUACGGGAGGCAGCAUG